Non-coding RNA from Podarcis lilfordi (Lilford's wall lizard), 72 nucleotides. Lineage: Eukaryota; Metazoa; Chordata; Lepidosauria; Squamata; Lacertidae. The record is from the annotation of a GenBank genome assembly.
GGGGGCAUAACUCAGUGGGAGAACAUCUGCCUUGCAUGCAGAAGGGCCCAGAUUCAAUCCCUGGCAUCUCCA